Molecule: ribosomal RNA, 352 nt
Filed under: Acrapex stygiata
Lineage: Eukaryota; Metazoa; Arthropoda; Insecta; Lepidoptera; Noctuidae
Description: partial 12S ribosomal RNA
Source: RNAcentral
UAAAAUUUAAAAUUAAAAUACUAAAAUAGUAAAUAAUUAUUUAUUGAAACUUAAAUAAUUUGGCGGUAUUUUAGUUCAUUUAGAGGAAUCUGUUUAAUAAUUGAUAUUCCACGAAUAAAUUUACUUAAUUUAUAAUUUUGUAUAUCGUUGUUAUAAAAAUAUUUUUUAAUAAAAUUAAUAUUUAAAAAUUAUUAUAUAAGUUUAAAUCAGAUCAAGAUGCAGAUUAUAAUUAAGAAUAUAAUGGAUUACAAUAAAAUUAUUUAAAUGAAUAUUAAUUUGUAAAUAUUAAUUGAAAGUGGAUUUAAAUGUAAUUUUAUUUAGUUUAAUAAAAUGAUUAAAAAUUAAAAUAUGU